UUCCUCUGUGCGCGUGUGUUUGGUUUUUACAGGAUUUAUGUUCUCUCACUACGAAAUGGGAAGGAAAUUACUUGAGUUCAUUUGAUAUUGUGAGCAGGAGCGUUAAGGGUACGACAUUUAACCUUUAGUUCCUUCUUCUAGUUUAUGUUAAAAGUUCCAAUUUGCAGACGUGCUGCACUUGGAGAAACUAGUGGAUGUUUUCCUUGGAAGCUGAGAAGCUUACUUAUCCUUUAAAUGAAAAGGUCUAACUCAGCAGGGUGUGACGUAAGAUAGGCAAAUUCAGUGGAAACCAGCAGAGAUUAAGUGAGCAAUAUAAAACUGGAAACGCAACAGAUAACCUGCAACAGGUCACAGGUAGAUAAUUCAAAGUACUAUUUGAGAUAUUUGUACCCCCAAGUCUCCAUACCACUAUCUCGAUAGUAAAGCCAAAGACAAAGGCUUAGGCUAAUUAGCUACUACUUACUUCAGUCUUACAGAUUGUAGUAGCAUAUAUUUUACAGUAAAACAGGAGUGUUCGUAAGCUCGGGCUAUCAUCUGAUUGCCACUACAACACUUUAACUGGCACAAGGUUAAGAGCUGUUUUUUUAUGGGUAGUAAGGCUAAGACCAACCGACUCUUCCAUGUCAAUGUUUUCUUCCUUCAUCCCAUAGGGUAACUUCCAGUCGAAAGCAUACAGAAGAUUUGCGAGUGCGAGCUCAAUUGUUGAUGUUGCCAUAUAAAUCCCAGGACAACCUCUUCGACCAGCUCCAAAUGUUAACAGCUCAAAAUGUUGGCCUUUAUAAUCAAUAGAGCCAUCAAUGAACCUUUCUGGGAUGAAUUCUUCUGGGUUCUUCCAGUAUUCAGGAUCUCGUCCUAUUGCCCAAGCAUUGACUUGGAGUAGUGUUUUCGGGUAAAUGUCAUAACCGUUGAUCUUAAAGUGUUUGAUGGUAUCUCUUGGAAGUAGCAGUGUGGCUGGUGGGUGCAAUCUGAAAGUUUCUUUCAGUAUCAUCUUGAGGUAGGGAAGCUGAUCAGUGUCCUCUUCAGUGACUUUUCCUUUGUUUCCAGCGAAAUUUCUAACUUCAUCUUGGGCUUUCUUCAUCACUCUUGGGUUCCUAACAAGCUCUGCCAUUGCCCAUAUCAUUGUAAUUGCACCAGUGUCGACUCCACCUAAAAAUAUGUUCUGGUAUAUAUAUACGAGUAUCACAGGUAAGCUAGCUAGCAGAAGUUAAUUAGUUUCAUAAUCACAAGCAAAUACAAGACUAGGUAUGACCUAUUUUCUGUUAUAGAUAAAGAUUGCAUUAAACACAGGAAAAUCGAUCGGAUGCUUACCAAGAGGACUGCCUUGAUGUUAUUUUUAGUGAACCGAUCAGACUCGGUUUGCUCCCUUUCUAUUCUCAGCAGCACAUCGAUGAUGUCCUCGUGCUCUUGUUCUGUCCUCUCGGGAGUGAGGUGAAGAUCAAUUACCUGUUGGAAAAAGUUAUCCAACUCAUGGGAAACCCUUUCAAGCCUUUGACGUCUGUCAGAUAGCCUGUCCAUAAUCCAUCCCACGUAUGGAAAGUACUCGGCUGCAUCGAAGCUUCCCAACAAGGCUUCAGCCUCAUGAAUCAAUUCUUGAAAUUUUUCAUUAUCCAAUUCACUCCCGCGGAAACUCUUGCCGUAAGCAAUCCUAAAAGUUAUGCUUGCAGUGAGAGCAAACAGCUUCUCAGAAAGAUCAACAGGGGUUGCAGAAGACGAAGACUCAGAUAUUGAAUUGGUAAGCGAAGCGACUUCUUCUUCCCUAAUGGACCGGUAUGAUUGCACUCUCUUCACGCUAAAGACCUCAAGAACGCAUAUUUUCCGUAUCUCUCUCCAAUAUUCGCCGUAAGGUACAAAAGCCAUGUCUUUAUAAUUGUAGGUAAGUCUUCUAGAGCUGGCCAUGACUGGCCUACUGCAACAGUCAAGAUCGUGAACUUUUAAGGCCUCUCUUGCAGCCUCAGCAGAAGAUAUAAUAACAUUUGGUAUACUGCCGAGGUGAAGGAGCAUCACCGGGCCGUAUUUUUGGGAGAGUCGCCACAAAGAUUGGUGAGGCAAUUCUCCAUUAAUCUGGUGCAAGUUACCUAUAAUGGGAAGCUUAGGAGGGCUUGGUGGAGGGCGUUUGUUUUGCACCACUCGAGCAUCCUUCUUCUUUUUAAUGAUCAGCAGCAGUAGAGGGAAAAGCAAGAGAAGAGGAAGCCAAAUGGAUACGGCAUAGAGAGCCAUUGAAGCAGCUUUGUCUCUUAUGCUCAUGCACCGAUUGAGCUUCAGCUGUUGCUCUUCAUCCAUAAAUAAAUAGAGAUCCCCGGUGAAGACAACCGUGACCAUUCAACCCAUGCUGUCAUUCAAAUUCCACUUCGAUCUGUUCGAAUAUGACAUUUCCAAGAUCAUUUUCCAAGUCAAGUAAUCAUGCUACACCAGGCUGCUUCAACUAUUGCUGCUAGCUAUUCUCUUUGUAUUUAGAGAAAUGAUCCUUACACUCAUUUCUCACAACAGUCCUACAACAAGCUGAUGUGGCUGGUAAUAUUUUAUUAUUUUUUUACAAAAAGAAAAGAAAAAAAAACAAAAAAAAUAAUAAAAUAUUACUAGCCACGUCAGCUUGUUGUGUGGCUGUUGUGAGAAAUGAGUGUAGGGAUCAUUUCUCAUUUCCUAAACAUGGAAAAGUAAACAAUGUCAAGAAGUUUGUUCACAUCAGGAUUCAAUGUGGAAUACAUGCAACAAAAGGAACGAUAUUACUUAAGUGAGAAACAUCCCUAAUACUUUCAUGAAU
Long non-coding RNA from Alnus glutinosa, 2761 nucleotides. RefSeq lists it as uncharacterized. The transcript has 3 exons. Lineage: Eukaryota; Viridiplantae; Streptophyta; Magnoliopsida; Fagales; Betulaceae. The record is from RefSeq and is a predicted model, not a curated record.